This 557-nucleotide ribosomal RNA is filed under the name uncultured archaeon. Its description in RNAcentral is "bacterial SSU rRNA". It matches the Rfam family "Archaeal small subunit ribosomal RNA", at positions 321 to 879 of the family's 1478-position model. The record is from RNAcentral.
CCCUACGGGGUGCAGCAGGCGCGAAACCUUUACAAUGCACGAAAGUGUGAUAAGGGAAUCCCGAGUGCUCAUGUUAUGCAUGGGCUUUUUUUAAGAGUAAAAAUCUUAAAGAAUAAGUGGUGGGUAAGACUGGUGCCAGCCGCCGCGGUAACACCAGCGCCACGAGUGGCGAUCAUAUUUAUUGGGCCUAAAGCGUUCGUAGCCGGUUUGAUAAAUUCUUUGUGAAAUCGUUGUGCUCAACAUAACGACGUGCAGAGAAGACUGUCAAACUUGGGACCGGAAGGGGUUAGAAGAAUUUCAUGAGGAGCGGUAAAAUGCUAUAAUCCAUGAAGGACUACCUGUAGCGAAGGCGUCUAACCAGUACGGAUCCGACGGUGAGGAACGAAAGCUAGGGGAGCGAUCCGGAUUAGAUACCCGAGUAGUCCUAGCUGUAAACGCUGCGAGCUAGGUGUUGCAUAAUCUCCGUGAUUAUGCAGUGUCGGAGCGAAGGUGUUAAGCUCGCCGCCUGGGAAGUACGGUCGCAAGACUGAAACUUAAAGGAAUUGACAAGGGAGCAC